AUUGAACGCUGGCGGCAGGCCUAACACAUGCAAGUCGAACGGUAACAGGAAGCAGCUUGCUGCUUCGCUGACGAGUGGCGGACGGGUGAGUCAUGUCUGGGAAGCUGCCUGAUGGAGGGGGAUAACUACUGGAAACGGUAGCUAAUACCGCAUAAUGUCGCAAGACCAAAGAGGGGGACCUUCGGGCCUCUUGCCAUCGGAUGUGCCCAGAUGGGAUUAGCUUGUUGGUGGGGUAACGGCUCACCAAGGCGACGAUCCCUAGCUGGUCUGAGAGGAUGACCAGCCACACUGGGACUGAGACACGGUCCAGACUCCUACGGGAGGCAGCAGUGGGGAAUAUUGCACAAUGGGCGCAAGCCUGAUGCAGCCAUGCCGCGUGUAUGAAGAAGGCCUUCGGGUUGUAAAGUACUUUCAGCGGGGAGGAAGGGAGUAAAGUUAAUACCUGUGCUCAUUGACGUUACCCGCAGAAGAAGCACCGGCUAACUCCGUG
RNAcentral lists this ribosomal RNA (490 nucleotides) under uncultured bacterium. Its description in RNAcentral is "partial 16S ribosomal RNA". It matches the Rfam family "Bacterial small subunit ribosomal RNA", at positions 30 to 507 of the family's 1533-position model. The record is from RNAcentral.